This 68-nucleotide transfer RNA is filed under the name Marmota monax (woodchuck). RNAcentral describes it as "tRNA.Ala". The record is from RNAcentral. Lineage: Eukaryota; Metazoa; Chordata; Mammalia; Rodentia; Sciuridae.
GUGGUGGCUCAGCGGUAGAGCACUGGCCUGGCAUGUGAGAGGUCCUGGGUCGCAUCCUCAGCACCACA